AAGCGAGUGUGCAAGCUGUUAGAAACCCUUCCAAAUGAGGCCGAUGCUCGCCUCAUUGACUGUGCUAUGGAGCUGGAUUCCAAACAGAAGCUCUCCUCUGGCUGCGGUCCGUGGGAUGCAAAGACAAAGCCAAAUUCUAUGGUUUUUGAAAACCAAGGAAGCAGAGGUACUGCCCAGCCGUGCCCGAGAUGUAUUGCUGGAGAAUCUAGAGGGGGGAUUCUUUCUGGCUCCCAGUUCCAGUCAGCAGAGUUUGGUGGUUUACACAGCGUGCCACACAAAGACAGGCCUAGAGCAGCUGGAGCUGCGUUAG
RNAcentral lists this long non-coding RNA (310 nucleotides) under Anas zonorhyncha (Eastern spot-billed duck). Its description in RNAcentral is "lncRNA (ENSAZOG00000008283.1)". Lineage: Eukaryota; Metazoa; Chordata; Aves; Anseriformes; Anatidae. The record is from RNAcentral.